AACUUUCAACAACGGAUCUCUUGGUUCUGGCAUCGAUGAAGAACGCAGCGAAAUGCGAUAAGUAAUGUGAAUUGCAGAAUUCAGUGAAUCAUCGAAUCUUUGAACGCACAUUGCGGCCGGCAGUAAUCUGCCGGGCAUGCCUGUCCGAGCGUCAUUU
RNAcentral lists this ribosomal RNA (157 nucleotides) under Scedosporium aurantiacum. Its description in RNAcentral is "5.8S ribosomal RNA". It matches the Rfam family "5.8S ribosomal RNA". Rfam says of the family: 5.8S ribosomal RNA (5.8S rRNA) is a component of the large subunit of the eukaryotic ribosome. It is transcribed by RNA polymerase I as part of the 45S precursor that also contains 18S and 28S rRNA. Functionally, it is thought that 5.8S rRNA may be involved in ribosome translocation. The record is from RNAcentral. Lineage: Eukaryota; Fungi; Ascomycota; Sordariomycetes; Microascales; Microascaceae.